Molecule: long non-coding RNA, 413 nt
Filed under: Chinchilla lanigera (long-tailed chinchilla)
Lineage: Eukaryota; Metazoa; Chordata; Mammalia; Rodentia; Chinchillidae
Description: lncRNA (ENSCLAG00000023164.1)
Source: RNAcentral
CUAUCCCCCCUUUACAAAACCCAUGAAAACUUCCCUCCCUGGGCCUUCAAGAGCCGACAUUUUGAGGAAUAAUUGAUUCCUUGUCAGUGCCCAUUUGAUGUUAAAUAAAUCUGCUUCCAAAUCCUGGGAGUCAUUUUGGUAUUUCUGUUUGCUGUAGAAUGUGAUGUGUCAGCCAGAAAAACUGACAGUAUUGACCUCUUUGGUUACUGGUCAUGGCCUUCAUGAACAGAGCAAGGUCCUCUCCAGGUCCUGACAGGAAGGUGCACCCUGGAGAUUUCUCAAGUCCUCUCAGAGGUCUGGAGGGGGAUUCUCAGAUUCCCAUUCGAGCAGCUCACACUGGACCCAAAAGGGAGGAGGACACACUCUGGAUUGAUCAUCAGUUAAGGCUCUGCAGAUGCUGCCCUGAUCUCUAA